Long non-coding RNA from Dromaius novaehollandiae (emu), 3448 nucleotides. RefSeq lists it as uncharacterized. The record is from RefSeq and is a predicted model, not a curated record. NCBI's taxonomy places the organism in Eukaryota, Metazoa, Chordata, Aves, Casuariiformes, Dromaiidae. The transcript is spliced from 4 exons.
GCCCCCUCCCCGUGCCGGCGCGGGGCGAUGACGCCGCGCGGACAAGGUGGAGGCGAGCAGGUGUAUCCGAGUGACUUGCCAUGCUGUGCAUCGCACCACUUCAGAAAUGAGGAUGGGAACUGACUGCCAUCUCAGAUGGAUGUUUCAGCUUCUAUAACCUGCUAAUAUCUGAGGCUCCACAGAUUCAUCAAUCAAUCUUUUUCAGACAAGAGGAGUCAGAGAUCUCCAAGCGUCAGCAGGUUCACAUCCGGUGUUGCUCUCACUGUAAAAGUCUUCUGCUUAUCUGUCAACCGUACCAUCCUGCUCCGCUCCUCAGGCUCAGCGCUUAUGGCCUCAACCUCUCCCAUUGCCCUCCUUACCCCAGGGUUAGCACCGUUCGCAGAGACCAUUAUCGCAGGUUCACCAAUUUCUCCAGCUCACUGAUUUCUCAGUUUCUGUGCCUUUCACAAAUUUGUUAAAUUCACUUAACUUCAUGGCAAAUAACAGGUCUGGUGAAGGGAACUGUGAAGCCUGUAGAAGCUGCUGACUCUCAUUUCUGCAUGGACUAGAAGAGGUAGUAACAUAGAGACUUUAUAGCAUACAAAUGCAGUAACUGCUCCUCUAUUCAGUGCUACAGGCUGGGUAAAGGAGUACAUGGUAAAGACACAGUGCUGGUUAUUUUGCAUGAAUGUUAAGGUGGUUUUGAAUCUUGAUUUGGGAUUUGGUUUGAUUUAGCGUAUGUUUGGCAAGGAAAGUGGCUAAAAUUGGCUACAUUGGUCAUAGUAAAAUGAUUUUUUUUUUUUUUGAGGCUAAGAGAUGUUAUUACUAAUUGUCAUGGAGUUUAAAGCCUAAUGUUAGUACAGCAAAUUCUGGCUUGAUACUAUAUUCCAUACGGAUGCCAAAUUUCCUGUUGUUGCCAAGGGUGCAGGGAUCAGUCCUUAGAUAAAUUACACCAGUAUGCUUCCAAAUGCAAAACCUCUAAUAAUUUUCUUAGCAUGAAAUUAACUGAUGACUUUUUGUGUUAUCUGUCCGUUCAGAUAUAGUGCUGGCACGGUACAGCUCUCAUUUUAUGGAAUAAAGCAGGACAGGCUUUCAUGACUUUUGCAAUGACAAGAUUCUCGCUUUUCUUGUAAAGUGCUGGGCAGCCAUAGUUUCCACUAGAGUUAGCAAGAGCUUACGGUUUUCAGCACCUCAUUGCUGGCAUUUCGAAUCUCACAGGACUGGAACCAGAAGUACUUAGCAUUUUAAAUGCUUUUGUAAACACAUUAAUCUUCAUAAUGGCCCUGAGAGAUGAGCAGUUAUCAUCUCCAUUUACAAAUGAGAAACCAGAAGGACAGGAAGCUGUCCUUCUCAGGGACACAAAGCGAGAGAGGAAAACUGGGAUUAGAGCGCUAUCUCAUGCUUAAUCCACUCUGCAGCAUCUCUUCUCCUGUCAGAUUUUUCUUGAAAAGAAGAUGACUAUCUCAUGAGACUGUAUUCCAGGAAACCCAAUUUCCAAUGAAAAAAAUGACUUGAGUGUGGCAGCACUGAUUUAUCUAUAUUUUUAUGCCACACUUAUCACUCAGGCACCUGAUCAUUUCACCCUUUCCUUGAAACUAGGAAAGGAUUUUAAUGCUUAAUAAAUACUGCUUAAUACUUUAUUAAAGUAUUUUAAUAUUACAAAGACCACCAGUCUCUUUCACUGUAAUACAACGAUCAAAAUGUUAAGUCUUCAAUAGCAGACAGUAGCAGACAUAGUCCUUUAUAUGGACAGUCUUUAAUUAUGUCACUUUCCUCUCUAUUUGGUACUUCAGUCAAGAGCAAAGCAAAAUCUCUGUCUCCUGUGCAGGCAGUGACCCCUUGCAUGCGUGCUCUUCAACCCAUGCCCCUGAUAUGGUGGCUCUCAUUAAUCCUACCAAGAAGGAAGGGAGGGAGAUAUCCGCUCCGUUAUUAUUUUUGGCCACUUGACUUCUCUUUCCAGAGAUAGUUGAUAGUCCUCAGAGUUUGCAGAAACUUUUUUUAUAUUGUUGUUUCAUAAAGCAUCAAGAUAUCAAUAUAGAUGGCCACACAGUAGAUUCCUGCAUGAUUAACCAUACUGCUGGCAGAGCAGACGAACCACCUCAGUGUCACAGAACCAUUUCUACGACCUUGUUUCAUUUUCCUCCUCUAACCCGUCAUCUGCCUCAUUUGAUACAUUGAUAAGGACAAGCCCAUUGUUAAAAAUAGUACAAGUGGGAAAGGGUGUGGAGAAAAUUGCUUAUUUUUCAUUUACUAUUAGAGCUAAAAUGAAUUUUACAAAUGUCUAAAACAUGACGUGACUUUAAAGCAAAAGCAACAGUCACAUCUCAUUAACUGCAGCACUAAACUUUUAGUUGGAGUAUUUGCUGUGUCUGAUUUCCAAGAGAGCCUUUUUCAGUGCCUCUGUUACUUUUUAUUUGCCUGUUUUUGAGCUAGAAAGCAGAUUUCAAAUCAUUUAUCUCUGUGUGAAGAAGAAUUACCCUUUCUACUCUCUAGACAAAAAAAAAAUGGCAAAUCACAGAGAGUGACCUUGUUACCACACAUUUUUGUCCACUUUGCAUAAUUCAGGGACAAAACAGCAUCUUUUAUUUGAGCACAUUUUUCUCUUAAAAGAUCUUUUCUUUCACCUGAUUAAAUAGUCUCUCAGCAGAAGGGCAGCCAAUUGCACAAUGUGCUAGCGAGGAUAUUGCUCUUAAGUCUUAUGUUUUAUCUGCUGCCUUGGCACAUCUAUCUUGGCACAUAGCUCUUCUAUCUGUCACCUCUAAGGACCAGAGCUCAAACCUCAGACUCAGGCCUCUGGUGAUGGACACCCUACCUGUCUACUAAUACUGGACAGGGGUUCUUCUAGCUCUCUUUUAGUGCUUACAGAUCAAUGUUUUGCAUGGUGAUAAAACCAUGUACCUGAGUGGGCGUUAUGGGCUGGAAUUUCUACGUUUGGCCCCACCAGCAGGGGUGGGCACAGGCAUGUGACAUGAAAGCUGUGUAUAGCAAGGUUUGGAGCAUGGCAGGGGAGCACCUGAAAGUCAGAGACUUUGUGGGAUGCUGUUCAAGGCUUUUCUCCAUGCCCAGAGAGAGUCAGAUUUGCUGGGGUCAUUCAUACCAUGAAUUGUCUGGUCAGCUGUGCGUGGGUUUCAUUCUGCAGAGAUCUAAUUAGCUCCCUUCAAAAAGGAGUCUGGCCAUAGCACAGCAUUCGUUUGGGAUGGAAAAUCAAGGCCAAUGGAGUGAAACAAGGAGGGAGUCAAACCUGAUAAUGUAGAUACCUCCUUGACUUGCAAGAGCACAUGCCUUCCAUCUUGCUGAGCUCAGCCUCGUGCUUUUGGCCCCAUUCUGAUAUCCUUACUCGGCCUUCUGUGCAUGUCAGUCAAGAAGAAGGUGCUCAUAUGAUAACCAUGAUCACUGCUUUGUCUAAAACACUUUAUCUAAACCACGAGUGCUGGAGACUUGUCCCCCACACUGCGGGGGGGGGGGGGGG